AAGAGGGGAGGGGCAGGAGCUGGAACUGGAAAAUGGGUUUAGUUACUAGGGAGAAGUCUCACUCCAGCAAGACCUAGGCUAUCGGAUUCCAGUGAGCAAGAUGAAUGCAGAGGGUGUUUCAUGGAAGAUACUUCAAGCUCGAUUAUGUUGUCUCCACGAGAGAAAUCUGACCGUGAUUAAAGCUACCAGCCCAAACAAAGAUGGAGAGAAAAGAGGAGGAUAAGAGGUGCCUGUAUUGACAGUGUGAAUUGAUUCAUAUCUACUGAGGACAGUUUUCAACUUGGUCACCGUAAUGAAAUACCUGACAU
Mus musculus (house mouse) is the source of this 308-nucleotide long non-coding RNA. RefSeq annotates it as predicted gene, 33247. NCBI's taxonomy places the organism in Eukaryota, Metazoa, Chordata, Mammalia, Rodentia, Muridae. The record is from RefSeq and is a predicted model, not a curated record. The transcript is spliced from 3 exons.